ACUUCUCUGGCAGAGAAUAUGCAAUAAAUUUAGAAUUUAUAGAUACAACAAACGAUGUGAGAAGUA
Molecule: transfer RNA, 66 nt
Filed under: Trichuris sp. TMM5
Lineage: Eukaryota; Metazoa; Nematoda; Enoplea; Trichinellida; Trichuridae
Description: tRNA-Leu
Source: RNAcentral